UACGUAGGGGGCGAGCGUUAUCCGGAAUUACUGGGCGUAAAGCGCACGCAGGCGGUUCGCCAAGUUUGAAGUGACAGUUGUCGGCUCAACCGACAAAGGACUUCAAAAACUGGUGAACUUGAGGACGAGAGAGGAACAUGGAACUCCAGGUGUAGUAGUGAAAUGCGUAGAUAUCUGGAAGAACACCAAUGGCGAAGGCAAUGUUCUGGCUCGUUUCUGACGCUCAGGUGCGAAAGCCAGGGGAGCGAACGGG
RNAcentral lists this ribosomal RNA (253 nucleotides) under uncultured bacterium. RNAcentral's name for it is "partial 16S ribosomal RNA". It matches the Rfam family "Bacterial small subunit ribosomal RNA", at positions 524 to 776 of the family's 1533-position model. The record is from RNAcentral.